GGUUAGCUCAGUGGUUCCGGCGCCUGCCUCGCAAGCGCAAGGUCCUGAGUUCGAUCCCCGGUAACCA
This 67-nucleotide transfer RNA is filed under the name Microcystis aeruginosa NIES-98. RNAcentral describes it as "tRNA-Ala". Lineage: Bacteria; Bacillati; Cyanobacteriota; Cyanophyceae; Chroococcales; Microcystaceae. The record is from RNAcentral.